Molecule: long non-coding RNA, 212 nt
Filed under: Phoenix dactylifera (date palm)
Lineage: Eukaryota; Viridiplantae; Streptophyta; Magnoliopsida; Arecales; Arecaceae
Description: long non-coding RNA (PDAC_LNC004490)
Source: RNAcentral
AAACCAAACAACUCUUGAAAGUCAUUUUAGUUUCAACAACAAUAUUGGUUUAAGUCAGGAUGACCCGUCAAAAUCAGCAUAAUCAAGACUUUUGUAAACUAAACAAUACAUUGUCCAAAAAAGUGGUGCAUUUUGUUUCCAAAAUUCCAUAGGAAGCUGGUGAGCCUACUGAUGUUGUUUCAUUUGGCUGAAUCAGAUUAACAGAAGUUCUG